Non-coding RNA from Schizosaccharomyces pombe (fission yeast), 1183 nucleotides. The record is from the annotation of a GenBank genome assembly. NCBI's taxonomy places the organism in Eukaryota, Fungi, Ascomycota, Schizosaccharomycetes, Schizosaccharomycetales, Schizosaccharomycetaceae.
CCAUUGACUAGCAAGAGCCCAAGUUAAGGUUUUAGUGGAGUCAUAUAUUUGAUCAAGCGAGUCCUUAGGAUACAAAAUAGAAUUGCUUGAUAUGACCAAAGAGGGUGUCGAAAUAAUAGGAAAAUUGGUUUCAUCCACAAAACACAACUUGAAUGAAUUGAAAGGAUAUGAUCCAUACUCCCGAACAAAAAAAUCCAUUGCUUUAUAUAAAAAAACACAUGUGUUUUCAACUUCCUCAGCAUAUUUGGGUAGAUAAUAUCCUGUAAUAUCAAUAGCACUAGAACCCAUAGCAUCAUCAUCUUCAGGUUCACGGAAAUCGGUCAAAUUGAUGUGCUUGAAUGGUCCAGCCGCAAAAGCAAUAUAAUUAGGAGCAACUGGAGUAGUCACACUAAAAUAUACCGUUUUUUUGCGCAUAUCUUUUGGAUGGGUGACCUGGUCCAGCAGAUCGCCACAACAAAUAACUUCAAUAUCAUGAUCUUCAAGUAAAUCGGGUUCAUUACUUAAGUUAAACUGGUGGUCAAACCUAUUAUUCUCGUAAUUAUCAUCAUGUCCAUCAACGCCAUUUGCACCAUUGUUCAAGUCGGAAGGCUGAGUUUUUUCUCGAUGCAUAAGGGAGCUGAGUGUUUUUGGCAACGUGAUCUCAAAUUCCCAAGUCGAUCGUUCCCAAAUGCCAUCGACACAAGGAAGCCAUGAACAAGUGCUGUAAGGAAUUAUAGAAUUGUUUGUAAACACGUGUGGAUAACGAUGAUCUACAGGAUCGAUACCAACAAAUGUAAUCCCGAAAAUAGGUUGAUGAACUGAAAAAUCAAUUGAAACAAUUAGUGGCCUUAGCUCAUCGCCAGGAGGCUUGCUAAGGAAUAUAUUGAUACCUCCCAAAUCAUUCAUCAAUGCUUCAUACUGUAAAUUAAGUUGAUGAUGUUGAUUUACCGUUGAAUUUGGUUCAUCAAUACGUAGUUUCUUUAAAGCAUCACUAUAGGAAAAUUUAGUUAGAUCCCCGUUUACAUAAACUGAAUGGAUUUCUUAACAAGUUAGUAAAUGAUCAUACAAGACGCGCAUUGAAGAAAACAAGCGAAUGAAAGCUAUAAAACUUCCACUCAAAAAUCUACUUACCAGCCUGGUAGCAAUCUAAUACAAUUUUUUGCAAAUUUGAGUCUAUAGGAUUAACUGUUAUAUCCGUCCUUCC